RNAcentral lists this unclassified non-coding RNA (238 nucleotides) under Calycina ellisii. RNAcentral describes it as "partial internal transcribed spacer region". The stretch from base 1 to 46 matches the Rfam family "Eukaryotic small subunit ribosomal RNA", at positions 1786 to 1831 of the family's 1831-position model. The record is from RNAcentral. Lineage: Eukaryota; Fungi; Ascomycota; Leotiomycetes; Helotiales; Pezizellaceae.
AAGUCGUAACAAGGUUUCCGUAGGUGAACCUGCGGAAGGAUCAUUACAGAGUUCAUGCCCUUCGGGGUAGACCUCCCACCCUUUGUAUACCGUGCCUUUGUUGCUUUGGCGGGCCGCCUCGCGGCCACCGGCCCCCGGGCUGGUGCGCGCCCGCCAGAGAAACCCAAACCCUGUUUUACAGUGUCGUCCGAGUACUAUAUAAUAGUUAAAACUUUCAACAACGGAUCUCUUGGUUCUG